UUAACCACCCACUACAUGCUAGAUCCUCUGCUAAGAACUGGGGAUUCAAAGGAAGGCAAAAACUGUUCCUGAAUCAACAAGGGUUCACAUUCUUAUUGGGGAGACACCAUGUACAAACAAGUGCAUUAAAUUGGAAAUAAUAGGAGACACUAAAAUAAAUGAGAACUGAGAAAGACUUAGCUGAAACUUGAUGGAAGCCAGUGAAAGCAAGAUGUGGAGAUAAAGAGGGAGAGAAUUGAAGUCAAUGGCAAUGCUCAUGGAAAUGGAGUGUGGUGUGCAAGAAGCAUUAAGGAGUGUUUUGUCAUAGAUCUUCCUUUCAUGGAGCCAAGAUGUGACUUCCUGGAAUCCCCACCCAUUUCAUCAAGUUUUAAACCUGGAGCCAAGUGGUCCAGGAAGAGCCCCUGAUACCUUAGUUUGCAAAUGAUACUUCUCCUCACAGCCUCUCCUCCCUUGGGGCCAGAAAUGGUACUGUUCCUCAGGAUCUCUGAUCCCUUGGGGCC
This 500-nucleotide long non-coding RNA is filed under the name Monodelphis domestica (gray short-tailed opossum). RNAcentral's name for it is "lncRNA (ENSMODG00000050818.1)". Lineage: Eukaryota; Metazoa; Chordata; Mammalia; Didelphimorphia; Didelphidae. The record is from RNAcentral.